RNAcentral lists this long non-coding RNA (3734 nucleotides) under Olea europaea (common olive). RNAcentral describes it as "long non-coding RNA (OEUR_LNC012146)". Lineage: Eukaryota; Viridiplantae; Streptophyta; Magnoliopsida; Lamiales; Oleaceae. The record is from RNAcentral.
UUCAUUUGACCAGGCAGAGUUCCAUACGAUUUCCCUUAUAAAAUAUAGGACGGAGCUCCCAAGAGCUUAAAGAAAUCAAGAAAACUUCAACUCAGACAUAAAACAACUACCAAAUAAGAGGUAAAUGUACAAAGGGACAUUAGACAACAUGCAAGUGUUUUCCCCAGGUUUAGCAAAAAUGAUAUUAGUAGUCGCCAACAAUGAUGUCUUCUAUGCAUGAAGUUUUGAAACUUUCAAUAAAGCUUAUGUUUCGAAAGAGGAGUUUCAGCUUUUCUGGAGCCGGAGUAUGGUUCUGGCCUGAGUGUGGAGUUACAACUUCAUCUGGAGAUGGAGUAGAAUCUCGUUUCUAGCCAGGAGUUCUAAUUUAACCUAAGGCAGAACCGCAAUCCUUGUUCCACUCUACAGUGCUUGGGGAUAAAAGCUUUGGUUUCAUUUGCUGAAGCUAUUGCCAGUAUGACAGUAGUUGGGCUGCUCAUGACACAAAAUCACGAGGUACAAGGACAAAACAUACGCAAUAUUAGGUUCAACAUAGAGAAGUACGGAUAGUGCACAUUGCAACAAAACACAAAAACCAAACCAAGAAUGCGCAAAAUCAAAGCUUCAAAGUAGAGAUUGUAAUAAAAGUUUCAGGCAUCUACAAAUACUAUGAUAAAAGCAAAUUUUCACCUACUGUAAAUGAUCCCAUGAAACAAGGUACACCACCAACCAAAAGGACAUUCACUUGCACCAUUCUUAAUCAGAAAGUGCACUUAUUUAGAUGGAAAGAUCUCUUUACGACAAUUCUUUACCCAUUUAUCUCAGUUUUAGAGCGCUAGGGCACGUUUAUCAUAAGGAUAUGGUCUAGCCUUCGAUGAUAAAAUGCAUGUAUUCAAGAGUAAAUGCCUGCUAGAGUAAUUCUGGUACCCACACAAAAAGAAGACAAAAAUGGAAAGACUUCCAUCGGUCGCUCUACAUGCAAGAAAGCAAUAAUAUAUUGAGAAUAAAAUAUGAAACAUUAAAAUCAACUGUUCACUUUAGUUUUUAAACUGCUCAUUAGAUAUUGAUUCUGUAGAUCAAAGCCUAAAGUUUUCCCUGUAACCAGGAAAUUGCACGCACGAAUAAAGUAAAUGAUCAGCAUGUCCAUUAGAACCUUGUAUUAUAAAUGCGAACACUUAAAAAAUAUCAAAUCCAUCACCUUCUUGAGGUGUGAUUGGCUUAUUUGGAUCAACUGGCACCAGAAGCUCAUCCCAUUGAAGUGUAUUUAUCACAUGAAGUUUUUGUUCAUGAUUUUUUACAAUCAUACUGUCAUUAUUCGUUGGAAAAUCAUUGAAAAACAAGUACUUCAACAAACCAUAUUCAAAGCAGAAAUCAUGUCAAAGACCUCAAGGUUCUGCAUACAAAAAUAUACUUUAUUUGAUUUGGAAACUCAACGGCACAUUGUGUAAGAAAACGGUUUUAUACAUGGACCAAAUAUUUUUGUUUGAAUAGUAAAAGAUGAUAUCAUUUUCUAUAUUUUAACUUCACCUGAUUGUGGUUUGCUGUAAUAUUCCCAGAGAAUCAAAUUCUUCUGAAGGCCAAGAAGCAGAUGGGUCAGAGACAACUGACGAUGGCUAGAGAAUCCAACAACUGCAUGAUGAUUAAAUCACAAACAAUUUCAUACAGAUAUAGAAAUAUUUGUGAACGAGAGUGAAAUAUAUACAAUGCUCAAAAACCAAGGGUCCUAAUCAUUUAUUACAACCUUGAGGUAUUCACAUACAAACUAUGGCCUCGGCUUUGCCAAAGAAAGGAAAAAAAUUUCAGUGUAGCUGAUCUCAGUAUCUACUAAAUAUUUGUCCCACACAUACAAACAAUUAUUAUGAAAAGGCGAUAAGUUGACCCAUGUACGACUCUAAACAAUUUUCAUUUAUAAUAUGUAGAGACUUCAAGAUGAAGCAAUCAGCAAGAAAAAGUACAUGUGGAAAAUGCAUGUGGCCUGUUAUUGCCUUUUCACACUAUAUGACCAUGCAUCUUUAGAGCUAAUAUCUAGAGAAUUUAAUUGUUGAAACCGAAUGAAUGAAUUUUAGUGAGCAUACAAAUUCUUUCCUCCCAUGCACAAGCAUAUCUAUGCUGUACAAUAGUUACCCAAUUAUUCAUGUAUUAUUCUCUACAAAUUUGUUCUUACAACCAUAAUAGGAUCACCAAUUCAUAAAGAUUUGUUGUCUUUUCAAAAUCAUUAAUCCAUAUAUCAGCAUGGUAACAUAUAUGAAGAUUAUAAUACACAAAGAAUUAAACUGCAAUUCGUAACAAGCAAAUCUCGAGUUUCAUGAUAGUGAACAAGAACAAUAUGCUAGAGUGACUAGCAAAAAAAUCACUCACGACAGUUAAAGUUUUAUAUGAUAAGGCUUCUCAUGUUUGGUAAUAGUGCAAAAAGUUGUUUGCAAUGGUUACUGUAGAAGCAAAAAACAAAAAGAUCAGGCCAAGAUAUAUUUCACAAGGUUUAAAAUUCCAUACUUGUCAAGUAGCUAGUAACAUCUGCGAACAAAAGUAAGUUAUCUUCUCCAUGUGCAUAGUAUACAUGAAUCCUUUCGUUGUUACAAACCUGUAUGAAAAUCAAAAUUAAUGGUAAUUUGUACUACAGAUCCAGUUGAUGAAAAUUCCCAAAAAUCAACUAGCGUGAAGUCAGUUCAGUGGGGGAAAGAAUGGCAUGAGUUUCAUGUCUUAGCAAUGUAAGCAGAUGCAUCAAAGACAAAAGUAGAGAAUACAAAACACAACUGAGUGAAAACUCACAAGGAAGACAAAAUAAAUAAUCCCUUAUCUGAACAUCUUGCGAGACCCUGCCAUCAAUGAAAAAAAUGUAAAGUGAAGUCCAGCAGUGGACAUUGGAUUUAAUGAAUUCAUAAUUACCAUGGACAAAAAAUAAAAUUAAUAAUCGCAAAUGGAAGCUACGGAAAAUAAUAAUAAUAAUAAUAAUAAUAAUAAUAAUAAUAAUAAUAAUAAUAAUAAUAAUAAUAAUAAAAUUGAUCAGUCAUUCGAGUCUUUGAAAUAUUAUAAACACUCAGGGAUAAAUCUGCUCUUUUCUUUUUCUUUUCUUUUUUUCCAUUUGAAUAAAUCUAUCUCUUGGAAUGCUAUGACACUAUUUUUCCAUAAAAGAUCUCCCAUAAAAAUUAAUAAUAAUAGUAUCAGUGAAACUGAAUAAAAACAAGGUAAUUGACAAGGUUUAAAGUUUAAACAGACAAUAAGGACGUUAUUUCUAAACCAUAGGGCACCAAUUAGGAAUGCAAAAUAUGGGUGGUAAAUUGAAAUGAAAUAUGUUAUUUACAUCUAAUAGUACACAAUAAUUGAUGAAAUAGAAUAUUACUUGCAUGUAAUCCUAAUGGUUAAUUUGUUGUAUAUUUCUCAUCAAAUCCUUGAUAUAUAAAUGGGGAAUGCUAUAUCUUCAAAUCUAGCAAAAAAUUCUAAAUACUAGCAAACAAAACUUCUUGUGCAGCUGCCUUCAGUGUCAUAAGCUAACGCAAUACACAAACAUGAAUCGUAGACUCCAGCAUACAGUAUUUCUUUGUUUCCAAAGAGAAAAACAAACAAGGAGAAGGUAGCCAACAUUAACAGGGAAAUGGUUAAAAAAGAGCAGCAGUUAAAAUUACUGUCAGCAAAUUUGGGUGCAGCAGAAGCUUCACCACUUCAAGAAUAGAAAAAAUCCGCUGCUAAGAACGCAAUAGACGACAUUACAACUUGUCUUCGAUCAAUUAGUGGGCUAUGCUCCAAACUUUCACCUCCCU